Molecule: non-coding RNA, 72 nt
Organism: Bos taurus (domestic cattle)
Lineage: Eukaryota; Metazoa; Chordata; Mammalia; Artiodactyla; Bovidae
Source: Rfam
UCCCUCAUAUCUCAGUGGAUGAAGAAUCUGCCUGCAAUGCAGGAAACUCGGGUUCGAUUCCUGGAUUGGGAA